Long non-coding RNA from Leopardus geoffroyi (Geoffroy's cat), 712 nucleotides. RefSeq lists it as uncharacterized. The transcript is spliced from 3 exons. NCBI's taxonomy places the organism in Eukaryota, Metazoa, Chordata, Mammalia, Carnivora, Felidae. The record is from RefSeq and is a predicted model, not a curated record.
UAUACAUCUGAAGGGUCUCAUGACUAUGGUUUUAUUAGACAGUAAUAAAUGGCCUUUUCCUAACAAUAGCUAGCCCCCUCAAGCUCCUGGAAACUUUGCUCCCAAAUGUCCUUAGAGACUUACGCUAUCCCUAACCCCCUCCCAACUUCCAACUAUAUAAUCAGCCACUCCUCACACCCCCAGUACAGCUAGCUCUCUUUGCCCGUGGGCCAACCACCUUUUGCACCAAAGACAUCUCAAGAAUUCUUCCUUGACCAUUUGCUCUGAACCCCACCAUUUCCACAUCAAAAGGGCGACUCCAUCAUCACUCUGAAUCGAUCGCUGUGUAACAAUACAAAUUGGUCGUUUUCAUUUUUUAGUGAGCUCUACGCCCAACGUGGGGCUCAAACCCAGGACUGCGAGAUCAAGAGUCGCACGCUCUACCAACUGAGCCCGCCAGUUGUCUUCAUUUUAACGAAGCCCUGUAGACACUCUCAUGGCCAAUGCUACCACUCAGACUGCGGCCCCACCCCCAGGAACAUCAAAGCAUCCAAAGGAUUGAGAAGAUUAUGCCCUAAAGCCUCCUGGAAUGACUGAAAUGUGCCUCAUUACCAGCCCAAGGAAGAUGAAUGACACAGGUCAGAGUUAACUGAGUGCUUCUUGACAAAGACACAAUGCAGCACGCAACAAGGCUCAUUUAACACCCCAUCGGGAAGCCUUACAAGUUACAGCU